GAAAUGCGAUAAGUAAUGUGAAUUGCAGAAUUCAGUGAAUCAUCGAAUCUUUGAACGCACAUUGCGCCCGCCAGUAUUCUGGCGGGCAUGCCUGUCCGAGCGUCAUUUCAACCAUCAAGCCCCCGGGCUUGUGUUGGGGACCUGCGGCUGCCCGCAGGCCCUGAAAACCAGUGGCGGGCUCGCUGUCACACCGAGCGUAGUAGCAAUCACCUCGCUCAGGGCGUGCUGCGGGUUCCGGCCGUUAAACAGCCUUAAAAAACCCAAGGUUGACCUCGGAUCAGGUAGGAAGACCCGCUGAACUUAAGC
This 306-nucleotide unclassified non-coding RNA is filed under the name plant metagenome. RNAcentral describes it as "partial contains 5.8S ribosomal RNA, internal transcribed spacer 2, and large subunit ribosomal RNA". The stretch from base 1 to 105 matches the Rfam family "5.8S ribosomal RNA", at positions 50 to 154 of the family's 154-position model. The record is from RNAcentral.